GUUAUAGAAAGGAAAUGAAAUUUAGAGAAAGAUUAAUCAACUCUACUUUAUUAGUGUUUAGGGUUUUAAGAGAAAUAGGAGAUACGAAAAGAGGAGAGUGGGAGAGAAUGAGAAUAGGAAAGGAGAGAAGAGGAGAGAAACCCUAAAAAUUUCAAAAAAAAAAUGUUACUUUGAAAGACGUGCCAAGCCUUGCCUCACUCCUUCGCACCUUGAUGAGAGAGGCGCUCGCUUCUUAGAACUAAGGCUCGCCUCACCUCGCCUCACACCUUACUCAACACCUUUUAGUGCCUUUAGUAACAUUGCUCUAAAGUACUGAUGAUGUAGAACCCAAAAUAUUUUUGGCUUAAUGCUAAAUUUGCCCCUAUAUUUAUUAGAUAUAUCCAAUUUAGUCUGUUUUCUACUUUCGAGCCUAAUCUGCCUAGAAGUUUCAAUUUAUACUCAAUUUGGUCCAAUUUCUUGGUAAGUGAGAAUAAGAAGUAGUGAGCACGUGGGUUGAUUUAUAUUAGGAUUAAUGG
Molecule: unclassified non-coding RNA, 515 nt
Filed under: Hevea brasiliensis (rubber tree)
Lineage: Eukaryota; Viridiplantae; Streptophyta; Magnoliopsida; Malpighiales; Euphorbiaceae
Source: RNAcentral